CUCGACUAUGAUUGGUCAGAAAGCAUAGUAGUCCUGGCUGUAAUUCAUAUCAGAAAAAAAAAAAAGUUUCUGGAUGGGAGUCUCCAGUGUCAGCACUUUGUGUCAGUCAGUAAAUUUUCAGAAAUAGGAAAUGUCUUCACGGUGGAGGUUUCUUGGUAACUUGACAAUCUGUCUUAACUUCAAGAGGGGAAAAAAGGAGAUGCUGGUAUUUCCCUUUUAUCCCCAGAGUUCCCUGGAUAGGCUCUGGAUUUACUCCGACCCUGAUCAAGAUAAAACACUUAGCAACACAUACAGCUGUAUAAUCUCAAUAGUUUCCACCUAAACUACAAUAAACAGCCAAAAGUAUGCGGACACCUGACCAUCACACAUAAAUAUGGUUCUUCCCCAGACUGUUGCCACAAAGUUGGAAGCACACAAUCGUAUAAAAAGUUUUUGAAUGCUGUAGCAUUACAAUUUCCCUUCCCUGGAACUAAGAGGCCCAAACCUGUUCCAGCAUGACAAUGUGCACAAAGCAAGCUCUGUGAAGACUGGGUUUGCCAAGUUUGCCCUGACCUCAACCCUACUGAACACCUUUGGGAUGAAUUGGAAUGCAGACUGCUCACCAGACAUCACCUCCACACCCAACAUCAGUGCCUGACCUCACUAAUGCUAUUAUGGCUGAAUGAACACAAAGACACCGGAGAUGCCUUACAUAAAUGCUAAUAAAUAAAUAAAUAAAUAAAUAAAUACACACAGCAUCAACAACCUUAAUUUGUUUGAUUUAUUUUUAGUUUCUUUGCUAAUAGGUGUUACAAAUGUGUAUCAGUUUUAGGGUAGCAGUAGAAGGGCUAUUGAGAACAAUGGACCUGUAGUACAUUUUACUUUUGCAGUGACAAAUAUAAUGUAAUGUUUCCGUUCACUUUUAAAGUUUUCAUUUGACUCACCCUUGUAUGUUCUUUUUUUUUUUGUUAAAUAACAGCAAAUUGUCCUUUUAACUGUAGAUGUCCCUGUGAAUUUGCUAUUAGUGUAGUAAACAUGACAUCAAAUGAGCACAUUAAUACAAUAUGAUUUGUCUUGCAGAUUGCCAGCUGCCGACUGAGCUGCUGUUAUAUAAGUAAUAACACACGACAGAUCUUGCAGUUAGGCAAAGAUUACAAUGUGUAAUUUCUUAAUGCACAAUAUGUCAUGCAUUUUAAUGGUAUAUAGUUAUAUUUAAGGUUGUAGAACAUCCGAGAGACAACUGCGAUAAACAGUCAUUCCCUCACCAGUCUGUCUGUCUGUCUGUCUCUGUGUGUGUGUGGGUGGAUAUGUGUCACACAAUUGAUCAUACCUCAACAGCGAUUUAGUUGCAGUUUAUGCUCAUUUGACAAAUCUUAAAUAAAUCAUAGUAGAUGCAUAUAUAUAUAUAUAUAUAUAUAUAUAUAUAUAUAUAUAUAUA
Long non-coding RNA from Ictalurus punctatus (channel catfish), 1417 nucleotides. NCBI's taxonomy places the organism in Eukaryota, Metazoa, Chordata, Actinopteri, Siluriformes, Ictaluridae. The record is from Ensembl.